GGAAGUGGUAGCUCGGUGGUUAUGACGUUGGCCUUCUGCUCGGAAGGCCAUGAGUUCAAAUCUCAGCACUGCCA
Molecule: non-coding RNA, 74 nt
Organism: Ameiurus melas (black bullhead)
Lineage: Eukaryota; Metazoa; Chordata; Actinopteri; Siluriformes; Ictaluridae
Source: the annotation of a GenBank genome assembly